This 779-nucleotide ribosomal RNA is filed under the name uncultured bacterium. Its description in RNAcentral is "bacterial SSU rRNA". It matches the Rfam family "Bacterial small subunit ribosomal RNA", at positions 8 to 774 of the family's 1533-position model. The record is from RNAcentral.
AGAGUUUGAUCCUGGCUCAGAUUGAACGCUGGCGGCAGGCCUAACACAUGCAAGUCGAGCGGUAACACAGAGGAGCUUGCUCCUUAGGUGACGAGCGGCGGACGGGUGAGUAAUGCCUGGGGAUCUGCCCGAUAGAGGGGGAUAACUACGGGAAACUGUAGCUAAUACCGCAUAACGUCUACGGACCAAGGUGGGGGCUCUUCGGACCUCAUGCUAUCGGAUGAACCCAGGUGGGAUUAGCUAGUUGGUGAGGUAAUGGGCUCACCAAGGCGACGAUCUCUAACUGGUUUGAGAGAAUGACCAGUCACACUGGGAACUGAAACACGGUCCAGACUCCUACGGGAGGCAGCAGUGGGGAAUAUUGCACAAUGGGCGCAAGCCUGAUGCAGCCAUGCCGCGUGUGUGAAGAAGGCCUUCGGGUUGUAAAGCACUUUCAGCGGGGAGGAAGGGCUACUAGUUAAUACCUAGUGGCAUUGACGUUACUCGCAGAAGAAGCACCGGCUAACUCCGUGCCAGCAGCCGCGGUAAUACGGAGGGUGCAAGCGUUAAUCGGAAUUACUGGGCGUAAAGCGCACGCAGGCGGUUUGUUAAGUCAGAUGUGAAAUCCCCGAGCUCAACUUGGGAACUGCAUUUGAAACUGGCAAGCUAGAGUCUUGUAGAGGGGGGUAGAAUUCCAGGUGUAGCGGUGAAAUGCGUAGAGAUAAGGAGGAAUACCGGUGGCGAAGGCGGCCCCCUGGACAAAGACUGACGCUCAGGUGCGAAAGCGUGGGGAGCAAAAA